GCAGUCUGUUAGACAAUCGCCCGUCAUAUAUUUUGGCUGGAGGAAAGUCCGGGCAGCGUAGGACAUGACAGUUGUUAACGGCAACCGGGGGAGACCCUAGGGAAAGUGCCACAGAAACAAAACUACCCUGAUUAAUAUCUGGGAAAAGGUGAAACGAGUGGGGUAAGAGCCCACAGCGGCGUCUGGUGACAGACGAAGAAGGUAAACCCUGUCAGCUGCAAGGAGAUCUGCAUAAGAGACGGUCCGUCUGCAGGUCGAUAUCCGCUUGAUCUCAUAGGCAACUGUGAGGCUAGAUAGAUGAUUGUCUCCGCUAUUUGCGGUACAGAACCCGGCUUAUCGACAGGCUGUAUAU
This 352-nucleotide RNase P RNA is filed under the name Candidatus Nomurabacteria bacterium. RNAcentral describes it as "RNase P RNA component class A". It matches the Rfam family "Bacterial RNase P class A". From Rfam's summary of the family: Ribonuclease P (RNase P) is a ubiquitous endoribonuclease, found in archaea, bacteria and eukarya as well as chloroplasts and mitochondria. Its best characterised activity is the generation of mature 5'-ends of tRNAs by cleaving the 5'-leader elements of precursor-tRNAs. Cellular RNase Ps are ribonucleoproteins. The record is from RNAcentral. Lineage: Bacteria; Candidatus Nomuraibacteriota.